UACGGAGGGUGCAAGCGUUAUCCGGAUUCACUGGGCUUAAAGGGUGCGUAGGUGGGUUGGUAAGUCAGUGGUGAAAUCUCCGAGCUUAACUUGGAAACUGCCAUUGAUACUAUCAGUCUUGAAUAUUGUGGAGGUCAGCGGAAUAUGUCAUGUAGCGGUGAAAUGCUUAGAUAUGACAUAGAACACCAAUUGCGAAGGCAGCUGGCUGCACAUAUAUUGACACUGAGGCACGAAAGCGUGGGGAGCAAACGGG
RNAcentral lists this ribosomal RNA (253 nucleotides) under uncultured bacterium. Its description in RNAcentral is "partial 16S ribosomal RNA". It matches the Rfam family "Bacterial small subunit ribosomal RNA", at positions 524 to 776 of the family's 1533-position model. The record is from RNAcentral.